CCUACGGGGGGCAGCAGUGAGGAAUAUUGGUCAAUGGGCGCGAGCCUGAACCAGCCAAGUAGCGUGAAGGAUGACUGCCCUACGGGUUGUAAACUUCUUUUAUAAAGGAAUAAAGUGAGGCACGUGUGCCUUUUUGUAUGUACUUUAUGAAUAAGGAUCGGCUAACUCCGUGCCAGCAGCCGCAGUAAUACGGAGGAUCCGAGCGUUAUCCGGAUUUAUUCGGAUUAACGGGAGCAUAGGUGGGUUGUUAAGUCAGUUGUGAAAGUUUGCGGCUCAACCGUAAAAGUGCAAUUGAUACUGGCAGUCUUGAGUACAGUUGAGGUAGGCGGAAUUCGGGGUGUAGCGGUGAAAUGCUUAGAUAUCACGAAGAACUCCGAUUGCGAAGGCAGCUUACUAAACUGCCACUGACAUUGAUGCUCGAAAGUGUGGGUAUCAAACAGGAUUAGAUACCCGUGUAGUC
RNAcentral lists this ribosomal RNA (460 nucleotides) under uncultured bacterium. RNAcentral describes it as "partial 16S ribosomal RNA". It matches the Rfam family "Bacterial small subunit ribosomal RNA", at positions 338 to 795 of the family's 1533-position model. The record is from RNAcentral.